RNAcentral lists this ribosomal RNA (261 nucleotides) under uncultured archaeon. RNAcentral's name for it is "partial 16S ribosomal RNA". It matches the Rfam family "Archaeal small subunit ribosomal RNA", at positions 748 to 1008 of the family's 1478-position model. The record is from RNAcentral.
CAGCCGUAAACAAUGUGCGUUAGGUGUGUCGGUAACCACGUGUUACUGAUGCGCCGAAGAGAAAUCGUGAAACGCACCACCUGGGAAGUACGGUCGCAAGGCUGAAACUUAAAGGAAUUGGCGGGGGAGCACCACAACAGGUGGAGCCUGCGGUUUAAUUGGACUCAACGCCGGGAAGCUCACCGGAUAGGACAGCAGAAUGAUUGCCGGGCUGAAGACCCUGCAUGACUAGCUGAGAGGUGGUGCAUGGCGUCAGUGACU